RNAcentral lists this ribosomal RNA (104 nucleotides) under Olea europaea subsp. europaea. RNAcentral describes it as "Bacterial large subunit ribosomal RNA". It matches the Rfam family "Bacterial large subunit ribosomal RNA", at positions 2529 to 2632 of the family's 2925-position model. Lineage: Eukaryota; Viridiplantae; Streptophyta; Magnoliopsida; Lamiales; Oleaceae. The record is from Rfam by way of RNAcentral.
AUGUCCUCUCUUUGCUACCUAGGGCUAUAGUAUGUUCCAAGGGUUGGGUGUUCGCCCAUUAAAGCAAAUACGUGACUUGGGUUUAGAACAUCAUGAGAUAGUUC